GAACCCAACUUAAGCCAUGCGACCCCGACCCUUUCUUCCUCUCUUCCCCGACUUCUCCUCUCCGCUUCCUCGUGUCUCUGCUCCAAGCGAUCGGCGACCAUUUUCUUCUUCUCGGCGUCGCAGGCACGGAUCGUUCUUGGAGGGUGGAGAAGGGAAACAUUUCUAGUCUCCGAGCUUCUUCCUUCUCCGACUACUUCUUCCUCUUCGGCUACGGCAAGCGGCAGCGACAAUCUUGUCGUUGCCGCCCUAAUUGCUUCCACCGGAGGAAAUUUAGCCCGCUACUGGUGAAAGGGGCAUUUAGGGCUCCGAGGGGAAAAGUCUCGGAUCAGAUCUUGGUCCUCCUCUUCUUUGCUGCUGAUCUAGGUCACGGUUGGAGAGGAAGGGGACAGUGAGAAAGAGGUAAGUAGGGUGGAAUCCAGCAGGGAGGUGUUGUCAGUGGGCUUUCUUGGGUUCCAGCAACAACUACCCUUUCCUGGCAGCAGCGAUCCUUGAUUGUGGAUCAUCAGAUGAGGGCUGUGAGGUGAGGUUGAGUGCUGUGGAUCUAGAGCUGAGGGGUUUUCGUGCGUCCAGCAGCAAACAAUACCAAAUUCAGCAGCAAUGGCGGCUAUGAAUUGAGGUUGAGACCGUCAGGAGAUUCCAGUCGCUAGUCCCUUGUCAUGACGGAUUCUGGAUUUUAGACUUUUUAGUUCCUUGUUAAGUUUUGCUAUACUGUGGACUGUGUGGUUGUAUUUGUGGCCUUUAUGUCGAGUAUUUGGGUUCGCUACUCUUGUUUUCCGCUGCAGUAUAUUCAUUACUUCGUGGAUUUCGUUUUCUUCGUUGUAGUGGAGUAGGUUUACAUAUAUCUACAAUGUUUUCUAUAU
Molecule: long non-coding RNA, 860 nt
Organism: Zingiber officinale
Lineage: Eukaryota; Viridiplantae; Streptophyta; Magnoliopsida; Zingiberales; Zingiberaceae
Exons: 4
Source: RefSeq, a predicted model, not a curated record